AAAGAGGACGACCUGUAUCCAGUCAGGAGUUUUGCACAGGUGCUGCAUGGCUGUCGUCAGCUCGUGCCGUGAGGUGUUAGGUUAAGUCCUGCAACGAGCGCAACCCUCGUCGCUAGUUGUUUUCUCUAGCGAUACUGCCCGUAUAACGUGGAGGAAGGUGGGGAUGACGUCAAGGUCAGCAUGGCCCUUACAUCCUGGGCUACACACACGCUACAAUGGGUGAUACAACAGGUUGCGAUAGAGUAAUCUGGAGCCAAUCCCUAAAAUCAUCCUACAGUACGGAUUGCAGGCUGCAACUGCCUGCAUGAAGUUGGGGUUGCUAGUAAACGCAGGUCAGCACACUGCGUUGAAUACGUUCUCGGGCCUU
This 367-nucleotide ribosomal RNA is filed under the name uncultured Chloroflexota bacterium. RNAcentral's name for it is "bacterial SSU rRNA". It matches the Rfam family "Bacterial small subunit ribosomal RNA", at positions 1004 to 1382 of the family's 1533-position model. Lineage: Bacteria; Bacillati; Chloroflexota. The record is from RNAcentral.